AUACUGUCGCGCCGGUGGAAGACGGUCGCUACUUCGACUUGCGGCCGCGGCUCGCGCUGCGGGGCGAAGGCGUCGUUCCGCUCGGCGAAGGCAUG
RNAcentral lists this transfer RNA (95 nucleotides) under Betaproteobacteria bacterium. RNAcentral describes it as "tRNA-Arg". Lineage: Bacteria; Pseudomonadati; Pseudomonadota; Betaproteobacteria. The record is from RNAcentral.